ACAUGGUCGAACGCUGGCGAUUAUGUGGAUCGUGUCUGGGUUGACAAUACCCAGACACGAUAAAAUCCAAACACGAUGCGUUUAAUAAAGGAUUAACAACAGGUGUUACAAACCCAUUCGGUAAGGGAAAACGGUUAAUUGUGCUGCAUAUUGGUUCGAAACAUGGAUUCUUGGCGGAUGGUCUUUUGUGUUUCCAGUCCGAAAAAAUUAGUGGUGAUUACCACGACGAGACGAACGGCAAUAAUUUCAGAGAGUGGUUUGAGGCAAUCAUUCUUCGGCUGGAACCGAAUUCUAUUAUUGUUAUGGACAACGCACCGUGCCAUUCUGUUCAAACCGAGAUAUUUUCAACAACAAAUUGGAAGAAAGCCAAAAUAUUGGAGUGGCUCGAAUCGAAAGGCAUCAUUCCGGAAAGAUCUAUGUUAAAGCCAGAACUGCUGACCAUUGUAUGUUCAUUGAAACCACCGCAAAAGUCUUAUAUUAUUGAUAACAUGGCCAAGGAUGCAGGGCAUACCGUAAUUCGAUUAUCACCGUAUCACUGUGAAUUCAAUCAAUUUGAAUUGGCAUGGGUGAUGGUAAAAACCUCCGUGAAACAGAGAAAUAUAACUUAUAAAAUUGACGACGUUCAAAGACUGUUGAAUGAGGCAAUUGAUCGGGUAACGCCAGAAAAUUGAAGCAAUUUAAUCAGACAUACAAUUGAAGAGGAGAAUAAAGUUUGGCAAGUCGACGACAUCACGAACGAAAAUAUUGACAUAUUGGAGUCAUGUGUGUUCACAAUCACGGGAAAUGGGGAAAGUGAUGAUGAAUCGGG
This is a non-coding RNA of Cinara cedri, 808 nucleotides long. Lineage: Eukaryota; Metazoa; Arthropoda; Insecta; Hemiptera; Aphididae. The record is from the annotation of a GenBank genome assembly.